UACGUAGGGGGCAAGCGUUGUCCGGAAUCAUUGGGCGUAAAGAGCGCGUAGGCGGCCCGGUAAGUCCGCUCUGAAAGUCAGGGGCUCAACCCCUGAAUGCGGGUGGAUACUGCUGGGCUAGAGUCCGGAAGAGGCGAGUGGAAUUCCUGGUGUAGCGGUGAAAUGCGCAGAUAUCAGGAGGAACACCAAUGGCGAAGGCAGCUCGCUGGGACGUGACUGACGCUGAGACGCGAAAGCGUGGGGAGCAAACAGG
This 253-nucleotide ribosomal RNA is filed under the name uncultured bacterium. RNAcentral describes it as "partial 16S ribosomal RNA". It matches the Rfam family "Bacterial small subunit ribosomal RNA", at positions 524 to 776 of the family's 1533-position model. The record is from RNAcentral.